Molecule: long non-coding RNA, 4279 nt
Filed under: Capsicum annuum
Lineage: Eukaryota; Viridiplantae; Streptophyta; Magnoliopsida; Solanales; Solanaceae
Description: long non-coding RNA (CANN_LNC006735)
Source: RNAcentral
CCCAAACCAGUUUUCUCCACUGAUUAAACAACAAUAUCAAUGACCACCGUACAAACUUCAACAACAACCAACGCGACAUAAUAGAAGAAAUUUCAACGCGAUAACAGAAACAACGUCAACAGCAGCAACAACCGACAACGACAACAGUAACCCGUAUCAGCAACAUCAAUAACAUUCACAAUUUCAACGCAACAACAGUAAAACAAUUUUGAAAUUCAAAUCUCAACUAAUUUUUCCUUUUUUACCCUUCUGAUUUCCCCCCAAAACAACACCAAAUUCUUAUAUAAAUAUCCACCUAUGUAGAGAGAAAAAGGAGGAGGAUUCUUUGGAGAAAAAUUGAGAAAUCGGGAGGAGCAUUCUUUCAAUCCUACGUAACCGAAGAAUUCGAGAAGAAAGCACUUAAAAGAUUAAUUCCGACGAAAGAAAAAGGAAAAGUAAAAUUUCAACGAUUCGGGAUUGAAAUUUCGGUGGAAUUCGUUCACUUACAGCUCGUUGUCCGGUUCGUUGCUCCGAAAAAGGUGAAAGCUUUUUUCCUAAUCUCAUUCGUAUGACUGAAAAAUUAUGUUAUGAAAUUGUCUGUAUUUAUCACCGUUUUGUCGAUGAAUUAAUUGUCCGUAUGAGAGGAGCAUCCGGAGACUUUAUUAGGAUGAAUUUCGGGAUGAUAUAGUUCCUUUUCUGCCUUAGAGAUGUAGUAGUUCUUUUCUUGGUGUGAAGUAUGUUCAAUAGUUGAUUCUCAAAGAAUUUAAACUUGUGUUAAGAUUUUCUCAAUUUUAUUGUCAUCACUCUAUUAAAUUGAAUAUUUUUGUUUUAAAGUUUGCAAAAGAAAAAAAAAAAAGAAAAGUAAGGUUAUUCAUCAUAAAUUGUUCCGGCGUUAGCUAUAGAUUAGGUUAGCCUAAUUUUAUUUAUUUACUUAUUUAUUUAUUUUUUCGAAGUCGUUUGAUUUCCGAACUAGUAAGAAAGGAAUGUUUCACACACCAAUCUUUGUUUUCCUUACCGUAGCAUUAACAGUGAAAGAAUAUGUUUACUUUGGUGAAUUUCUCUUUGCAGUUCAGUUCAUUUUUCCCAAAAUGUUGAAAAAAAAAAUUAGAAUGAAUUGAAAACUAAGGUUGAGCAGUAGACUAUACUUGAAAGGGAAAUAUUUGAUUCUUUAAGAAAAUUUCCUCUGAGCAUAUUUGCAAUUGCAGAAGAGGUUCUUGAAGGCUUUUAUAUUUGGGAGUUGUGACUCAUCAAAAAGGCAACUUUUUAAUUUUAUGCUAUGGAGAGGCGUGGAUACAUAUGUCUCACAAUAUGGUUGAAGUUAUUUAGUUUUUGACUAUAUUGCUCAUUAGAUGUUAAAAAAAAAAAAGAAACUAUAAUAUGCUUACGUGCUAGUUUGAAUAUUCAUUCCAUAAUCUUUUGAUUUUUUUAUUUAUUUUUUGCAUGAACUCGUUGAGUCCUUUUGGACUUCUUCCUUACAUCCUCAUUUGGUCCAACCCAUCGAGUCAAAACCUCAAGUCCAAGUCCCAAGAGGACUGUUUUUGCAUUAGUAUACAACGAUAUACGCAUCAGGGAGUUGGUAUAUGCUGAUAUGCAGUAAAUAUACAUUGGAAGCAGCAGCUGCACAUCAUCACACGAUUUUGUGAUGAAAAAUGGAGGGAAAAUAAGCAGUAUUUGACACUGAUAUACACUGCAUAUACAGUGAUAUACACAAAAACGUCGAGACUUAAGCUGCUGAUAUACAACUGGUAUACACUUUAAAAAAUGGACCCAAGUCCAUAAGAAUAAGGUCCAAAAGCUGGACAGCUUGCUAAGGGGACAAUAAAGGCCCAAAUCCUAAACUUUUGUUCCUUUUUUCCUUGUAUGUUAUUGUUGUUUAUAUGUACUAACUCUAAUUUUAUUUACUUAAACUAAGUAAUUCCUUAAAUUGUCGUCAUUAUAUUGUAUCUUGAUUUUGUUACUUAACCUAUAAUUUUGUCACAGAAUUUUACAUUAUCUAAAACGAAUUAAAUUGAUUCCUUCAAUUUUCUCUUUAAAACAAGUCAUUAAAGAUCAAGUAUUUUGUUCCGAAAUGACAUUCAUUAUAUUCAUAUAACUAAAUAGUUUAUAUGAAUUAAAAUAACUUCCUUUUAAACUUAAGAAACUAAAUUUUCUUAUAAAUUUCAACUUUUCAUAAUUAAUAAAGGUUUUUAAUUCAACACUCUCUUAACAUUUUUCCGAAGGUAUUAUCUAUAAUAUGAUCAACUUUUUCUAUAAAUAUUAAUAAUAAGAAAAUAAUUUCAUAAUUUUCUUCUUUUACGAAAUUAAAAUCCAUUUUCCUUUUAAGUCCAAAAAUUGCAAUUUAGUUUAAUUUAGGUGGAAUAUUUCUUGUCUAAAUGAAUAAAUGUUAUUUUAAAUAUGUUUAAAUAAAUAAUUUUAAUAUUUUCUAUAAAAUCAAGUCUUUAUGAAAAUUAGUCACUUUUAAUUAGUUAGAUUAGUUCUUUUUGGUAAACUGUUUUAAACAGACGCAUCUAAGUGCCUUAAAAACUUUCUUAGGGCGUUAAUUGAACUCUUACCUUCUUAGGGCGUUAAUUGAACUCUUACCCAGUUUCUUUAGUUUUAAAGGUUUAUUUCUGUUUUUGAACCUUUAAAACUCUUUUAAAUUUUUUCUUGAUUUUUUUCUAUAAAAAUCAAGUGGCGACUUUGUGAAUUUUCUUAAGAUUAUUUCGGAAUUUUCUUGAAUUUUUUAAAUAGAAGGUCAAAAUUAUUUUCUCGCCAAAAGAAAUUCGAAAAGGAUAAAAUAAAAUUAAGGACCCCUAAAAUAUGGAAAGAACCCUGAUAAAAUAAAUAUAAGAAAAGAAACUAAGAAUCCUAAACUACUUAAAAUAUAUGAAUUCUAAAAUAUAUAUAUGGAUCCUAAAAUAUAUGGAAAGAAAUUAACAAUUCUAAAAUAUAUGUAAAGAAUUACAUUUUACUUUAGUUAAAUAUGUGGGCUUGACAUAUUCUCUACAUUCCAACUCCUUAAUUCAAAUUCUCUUUUACCUUUUAAUGUUUUUUUUUUUUUCAAAUAUGAACUUUUUUCUAUGGGGGAUUUUAAGCUUAUUGAUGCCUUUUUUUUUGUUGUUUAAAUUUACCUUCAAAAUAAGUCUAUAUUCUUUUGUUGUUGGUUUAAAUUAGACUUAUUAAAAUUGAAUAUUCUUUAACUUUUAAGAUGGUCUUUUUUCAUAAUCUUAAAUUAUUAUGUCCGUAAACAAAUCACUAUUGAUUGAUUCUUUAAUAUGUUUGUGCAGAUGAAGAAAGAUUUGUGUAAAACGUGCGAACGGAAUUUAAUGUCGAUUACAAGUGAAUUUAAAGUAUGCUUUUCCUGUUCUAAAUUUUAUUUCUUAUUCAUGUUAGUUAUAUUUCUUAUUAAGGCGAAUUCAAGUUAAUACUCUUUCGUUAAAAUCAUACUUACAUAAAAAACUAUUGAGAAAAAAAUAAAGUAAAAAUUGUGAUUUGUCAUGAUAACAAACAAAUCAUAGUGUCAAACAAGUAUCAAAUAAAGUCAUUAGUUGGCUAGAAGAUAAAACAAAAUUGAGAUUAGAGAUUUCAUAAGUUAGCAAACCAAAUUUAUAAUCUAUUUCAUUCUUCCAUUAGGUUCGUAGAGAUGGACGCUAGGGAUAAUUUGCAUCACUCGAUUUAUGUUUUGUGUCGUCAUUAAGACUCUAAAAUAUAUUUUUUCUUUCAAAUUAUAAUAUUAAAUAAUUGAUAUUUCAACGUAUUUUUUUUUUCAAUCUUUUGUUCAAGGCUUUUCUCUAUCAAGAAAUUAGCAUUAAGUGACUUUAAAUGAAUCUGAUUCAUAAUAGUGGAAUUUUUUAAGGCGGGUCAAGUAUAUUGUUCGAUAUAAAUAAUAGUAAUUUUGUUUGUUAUAUACACUUAUUAUAUAAAAAAGUUAUUUGAACAUUUAAACUUUUUUCCCUUCAUUAAAUUCUCUGUAGCAGAUAAAAUUAUCUUUUUACUUAUUUUUUGAAAUUAUUAUUUAAUUAUUAAAAAAUUAAAGAAUCUUAGUACAUAUGGUAGAAGAGAAUAAUAUAGAGAUUAAUGUUUGUAGGUUUACGUUUUCCUUAUGUACGUGAAAAAGAAAUUAAUAACAUAUAUAGUAAGAGAAAAGUCCUAACAGAAAAUAAGACGAAAGUACGAUAGAAUUUUUUUUCCAAACUAAUGUUGGUAAGUUUAAUGUUAGGACUAAAUAAUUUAUUACUAAUUUGAACUUUUUGCACUUCACUAAAAAUUUUCACAAUAGACAAAAUCGUCUAAUUUUAAAUAAUCAAAAGUUACAUGUGCG